UUGAUACUCCCUCCGUCCGGAAUUACUUGUCACAGAAAUGGAUGUAUCUAGACGUAUUUUUAGUUCUAGAUACAUCCAUUUCUAUACAUUUCUGCGACAAGUAAUUCGGGAUGGAGGGAGUAUUUG
Molecule: non-coding RNA, 126 nt
Organism: Triticum aestivum (bread wheat)
Lineage: Eukaryota; Viridiplantae; Streptophyta; Magnoliopsida; Poales; Poaceae
Source: Rfam